UACCUUUCACACCUCGAUACAUAAUUUGAAACUCAUGCUUUAUCUCAAAUUUUUGAAGUUUCAUCUUGAAUGAAAUAUAAAAGAAAGGGGGAGUAAUUCAAAAGGUCAAAUUGGAAACAUUUGGAUGAAAUAAGGGGAGACUUCACUCUCAAAUUUGAAAAGCUGAAAUUCAGCAACUUGAGCCCUUCUAAAACUAAUUUUUAGUUAAGUAUCAAUAGGCUCAUACUCAGUAUUUUGUAAUCAUCAAAAAGGGGGAGAUUGAGGAUGAUAGUGGUAUUUUGAUGAUUAAUACAAUGAUUAAGAGUAUGUUACAAGUUAAUUUGAUACAUCAUUAAUAAGUCCGUCACUCUCGAUACAUUAGUAUAAUGAGAUAAAGAUACAUUUCAUUGAUUAUUAAUGAGAUACAAUUUGCGAUAGGAAAGGGAUAGUGAAUUCUAAAUUCUAAUUCGGCAAAGCUUCAAGUGAGACAUACUCUUAAGUGGACAAUAGUAAUUUUCAUUGUUUGGAGCAUGUAGCACUACCAUGACAUAUAUUCAAAAUUGUUUAAAGUUUAUUUCAUUGAUUAUAUGGAUGAAUCUAACCUUAAGUUGCGGCAAAGUGUGGAUUGAGUCGACCCCAAGAUUGAUUGAGUCGACCCCGGCACAUCAAGAAACCAUCUGGCACACUUCUGCAAAAAUGGCACGGAUGAACAGUACUUGGGUCGACCCAAGUAAAGGAUGAGUCGACCCAAUCCU
This 734-nucleotide long non-coding RNA is filed under the name Phoenix dactylifera (date palm). RNAcentral's name for it is "long non-coding RNA (PDAC_LNC009117)". The record is from RNAcentral. Lineage: Eukaryota; Viridiplantae; Streptophyta; Magnoliopsida; Arecales; Arecaceae.